UACGGAGGGUGCAAGCGUUAAUCGGAAUUACUGGGCGUAAAGCGCGCGUAGGCGGUUUUUAAGUCGGAUGUGAAAGCCCCGGGCUCAACCUGGGAACUGCAUCCGAUACUGGAAGACUAGAAUGCGGGAGAGGGAGGUAGAAUUCCAUGUGUAGCAGUGAAAUGCGUAGAUAUAUGGAGGAAUACCAGUGGCGAAGGCGGCCUCCUGGCUCGACAUUGACGCUGAGGUGCGAAAGCGUGGGGAGCAAACAGG
RNAcentral lists this ribosomal RNA (252 nucleotides) under uncultured bacterium. RNAcentral describes it as "partial 16S ribosomal RNA". It matches the Rfam family "Bacterial small subunit ribosomal RNA", at positions 524 to 776 of the family's 1533-position model. The record is from RNAcentral.